Molecule: long non-coding RNA, 475 nt
Filed under: Capsella grandiflora
Lineage: Eukaryota; Viridiplantae; Streptophyta; Magnoliopsida; Brassicales; Brassicaceae
Description: long non-coding RNA (CGRA_LNC001192)
Source: RNAcentral
UCCUCUGAAACUGCGAGACGACAACAACACCUCUCUUCUUCUGUAUUCCAAGCUCUUUUUUUUCUUUCUUUAUGUGUUUGGUUUUUUCUUCUUUUUUUAUAAAGGAAAGAAAUUUCAAAAUUGGAACUUGGUCUCCUUUCAAAAAUAUGAAUAAACGAAGUUAGACAUGUUUUUUUUUUUUUUUGAAAUAUAUAGGUGUGGAGGGGGUGGGGGUUAUUUUUAAGUAAGGAAAAGCAAAGUCUAAACUCUUCCCCCCACCCACAAAGUGGAGCAAAAGCUAAAGUCAUAACCUUUGACACUUUUCCCCCUUUUUUUUAUUAUUUUUCAUUAAUCUCUCACCCAUCUCUUUAUUAUCUCUCUCUCUCUCUCUCUUGCACAAAUAAACAAACAAGACAAAUCUUUCUUUAUUUUUAUUUUUAUCCUAAACAUAUUCUCUCUUUGCUUACUGUAUGUAUUAGCUUAAUUUGUAUCUUCC